GUGGUGGCGUUAUACUAAUGGAGAGAAUUAGAGCAGGAAUUUUAUGUCUCAAAACCACAUGGAAAUGGUGUUUAGUUCAUCAUUCAGUUUCAUUAAGGUCCAGUGAGUAGGCCCAGUGGUGUCAAUUUCACAUAACAAACAUGGCAAUGGAGCGUUCUCGCAGUGGACAAUGAGCCAAAAUUUUUGAGUAGAAAAAAGUACAAGAAAGGAUCAAAGAUUUACCAAGUUGAGAGAAUUAUUAGCAGGCGGACAUCGAACAAGAAGGGUUUUGAAUACCUUGUGAAGUGGGAGUAUUGGACGCUCUGGGCAUGUUCGUGGGAACCAUCCGAACAUUUAAACAAACAUUUAAUAAGGAACCACAAUAACCCAUCAGUUUGCCCGGAAAGGAUACAGAAAGUGGCUUCUUUGCUUCUGGACGCAAUUUUGUCUGUUCUGAAAUCCAACGCAGCAAAAGUCAUACAUUCUGUUGAUGUAAAGAUUGAACAUGA
RNAcentral lists this long non-coding RNA (488 nucleotides) under Exaiptasia diaphana. Its description in RNAcentral is "uncharacterized LOC110253732, transcript variant X2". The record is from RNAcentral. Lineage: Eukaryota; Metazoa; Cnidaria; Anthozoa; Actiniaria; Aiptasiidae.